Molecule: ribosomal RNA, 273 nt
Filed under: Escherichia coli
Lineage: Bacteria; Pseudomonadati; Pseudomonadota; Gammaproteobacteria; Enterobacterales; Enterobacteriaceae
Description: partial 16S ribosomal RNA
Rfam family: Bacterial small subunit ribosomal RNA
Source: RNAcentral
UUAAUUGAAGAGUUUGAUCAUGGCUCAGAUUGAACGCUGGCGGCAGGCCUAACACAUGCAAGUCGAACGGUAACAGGAAGCAGCUUGCUGCUUCUCUGACGAGUGGCGGACGGGUGAGUAAUGUCUGGGAAACUGCCUGAUGGAGGGGGAUAACUACUGGAAACGGUAGCUAAUACCGCAUAACGUCGCAAGACCAAAGAGGGGGACCUUCGGGCCUCUUGCCAUCGGAUGUGCCCAGAUGGGAUUAGCUUGUUGGUGGGGUAACGGCUCACC